Non-coding RNA from Paramuricea clavata, 416 nucleotides. The record is from the annotation of a GenBank genome assembly. Lineage: Eukaryota; Metazoa; Cnidaria; Anthozoa; Malacalcyonacea; Plexauridae.
UGGCGGAGUACUCCCGCAGAAAAUUUUUGAAAUUUGAAUCCCGGAAAUGUCAUUUCCUGCAUUAUGAGCAUCCAAAUUUGCUCCAAAAUUUAUGCUAACUGUACUUGUAUUUGAAAUAAAUAAAGGAAAAAACGCACAAAAAGUAAAAAAAAAUCCAUCAUUUAUUAUUACUUAUUAGAGGAGGAUAGCAAUGAUCAGGUGUGUGGGGGUGUACUCCCCCAGAACAUUUUUGAAAUUUGAAGCACGGAAAUGCCAUUUCCUGCAUUCUGAGCAUUCAAAUUUGCUCUAAAAUUUAUGCUAACUAUACUUGUAUUUCAAAUAAAAGAUGGAAAAAAUGCACAAAAAGUAAAAAAGAAUAUUAACUGUAAUUUCUCAUUACUUAUUAGAGGGAUAAUCCCCAGAAAAUUUUUGAAAUU